GUUUUGGGUGCGGUUUUAGUUACC
RNAcentral lists this non-coding RNA (24 nucleotides) under Arabidopsis thaliana (thale cress). Lineage: Eukaryota; Viridiplantae; Streptophyta; Magnoliopsida; Brassicales; Brassicaceae. The record is from RNAcentral.